GGACGAAAGUCUGACGGAGCAACGCCGCGUGAGUGAUGAAGGUUUUCGGAUCGUAAAGCUCUGUUGUUAGGGAAGAACAAGUGCGAGAGUAACUGCUCGCACCUUGACGGUACCUAACCAGAAAGCCACGGCUAACUAUGUGCCAGCAGCCGCGGUAAUACGUAGGUGGCAAGCGUUGUCCGGAAUUAUUGGGCGUAAAGGGCUCGCAGGCGGUUUCUUAAGUCUGAUGUGAAAGCCCCCGGCUCAACCGGGGAGGGUCAUUGGAAACUGGGAAACUUGAGUGCAGAAGAGGAGAGUGGAAUUCCAUGUGUAGCGGUGAAAUGCGUAGAGAUGUGGAGGAACACCAGUGGCGAAGGCGACUCUCUGGUCUGUAACUGACGCUGAGGAGUGAAAGCGUGGAGAGCGAACAGGAUUAGAUACCCUGGUAGUCCACGCCGUAAACGAUGAGUGCUAAGUGUUAGGGGGUUUCCGCCCCUUAGUGCUGCAGCUAACGCAUUAAGCACUCCGCCUGGGGAGUACGGUCGCAAGACUGAAACU
RNAcentral lists this ribosomal RNA (537 nucleotides) under uncultured bacterium. RNAcentral describes it as "bacterial SSU rRNA". It matches the Rfam family "Bacterial small subunit ribosomal RNA", at positions 373 to 901 of the family's 1533-position model. The record is from RNAcentral.